Molecule: long non-coding RNA, 625 nt
Organism: Pan troglodytes (chimpanzee)
Lineage: Eukaryota; Metazoa; Chordata; Mammalia; Primates; Hominidae
Exons: 3
Source: RefSeq, a predicted model, not a curated record
AACACAUGCAGUUUAUAGAGGAAUUUCACUUAGCACCCUCCACCUAGCAACCUUCACCUAGCAAUCUCCAUUUAACACAAAACAAAGGGCCUGGAUCCCUUGUAUGGCCUGCAUUCCAAGGGAAUGGCUGGGGAUUCAGAUGUCCUUCAUAGAUAAGGAGUGAAACUCUGGGUUGUCUACUCCUGGACCCCUUAGCUCAGGACUCCAAACACACAUUCUUCUUAGACCAUAGGGUCAUUCUCAGGGUAUGCUUCAGUUAUAGUUGUCAGGUGCCUCUGCCAUGUACCAACUAUAAUUUAUGUCUGUUUACUCUUGGAGAUACAUUUUCAGUUGGUGGGGUCAGAAGUGAGGAGACAUUAUCUCUCAGAAGAAAGAAUAUGACUGAGGGAUAUGACUGAGGGUUAUAUGGCAGAAGAAGAGACCAAGUAGGACCCACAGGUCAAAUAGCAAACUCAACCAACCAAGUAUGAAAAUGACGCAAUAAAGAGAAGAAAAAGUUAAAGUACUUGACAAAAUGAGAUAUGCUGCCACAAUUUUGAACUUUACUUCUUAUGAGAAGGCCCAGGUCAGUUCUGAAUUUCUUUGGAAUUUGUUUACAUUUUAAGAUAUAGUCAUUUGUUCUUCA